GGACGAGGGACGGUGAGACCCACAGCACCAGGGCGGAGGAAGGACGACCCCGCCUCUUCCCUGGGUCAGGCUGCCGGUGCGGAAGCCUACAGUCAGGCUGCGCAUGCGGGAAACUUACAAUCAGGCUGCGCGUGCGGGAAACAUACAAACAGGAGCCCGUGAGGGACGGGAGAUGCUGCCGUGGGGGCUUUUGUGAAGGAAUUUGGAUCGAGUUCCUAUUUUGGAGGAUUUUGAGGGAGAGACAGGCAAGGCGUGACCUCUGUUGUGUUAAGAAUCCCUUUCUUUGCCCCAGGAAGGCUAGAGGAGCGGCAAGGAGACGUGCAGCCGACAGCAGCCCCGCAUGGGGACAGAGCAGGGAGGAGGCCUGAGGUUCAGCUGCGCGAAGCGAGGCCCGCCAGACCCUAACGGACGGGAGCCGGGCCUCCUUGGGGACCGCGAGCUCAGGAAAGAUGGCACGUUCGUGUCUGCAGUGCUUUGGAGAGGCAGACGCAUUCAUCCAGUCAAUCAACAAACGCCGCUGCCGACUGCUCAGCGGGCACCCGAGCAGGAGGCGGGACUGAACUGUGACCCGCUCUCAUCAAAGCCUCCCUCAGGGUCCCAGGGCUGCGAACAUCAGGUAGGUGUGGAGCGAGCGGGACGGCUGACUCUGCCUCUCACGUGCCCUGUGUCUC
RNAcentral lists this long non-coding RNA (671 nucleotides) under Sus scrofa (pig). RNAcentral describes it as "lncRNA (ENSSSCG00070005945.1)". Lineage: Eukaryota; Metazoa; Chordata; Mammalia; Artiodactyla; Suidae. The record is from RNAcentral.